RNAcentral lists this ribosomal RNA (464 nucleotides) under Vreelandella stevensii. RNAcentral's name for it is "partial 16S ribosomal RNA". It matches the Rfam family "Bacterial small subunit ribosomal RNA", at positions 338 to 795 of the family's 1533-position model. Lineage: Bacteria; Pseudomonadati; Pseudomonadota; Gammaproteobacteria; Oceanospirillales; Halomonadaceae. The record is from RNAcentral.
CCUACGGGGCGCAGCAGUGGGGAAUAUUGGACAAUGGGCGAAAGCCUGAUCCAGCCAUGCCGCGUGUGUGAAGAAGGCCUUCGGGUUGUAAAGCACUUUCAGUGGGGAAGAAAGCCUUGGGGCUAAUACCCUCGAGGAAGGACAUCACCCACAGAGAAGCACCGGCUAACUCCGUGCCAGCAGCCGCGGUAAUACGGAGGGUGCGAGCGUUAAUCGGAAUUACUGGGCGUAAAGCGCGCGUAGGCGGUCUGAUAAGCCGGUUGUGAAAGCCCCGGGCUCAACCUGGGAACGGCAUCCGGAACUGUCAGGCUAGAGUGCAGGAGAGGAAGGUAGAAUUCCCGGUGUAGCGGUGAAAUGCGUAGAGAUCGGGAGGAAUACCAGUGGCGAAGGCGGCCUUCUGGACUGACACUGACGCUGAGGUGCGAAAGCGUGGGUAGCAAACAGGAUUAGAUACCCUGGUAGUC